RNAcentral lists this long non-coding RNA (1004 nucleotides) under Cyanistes caeruleus (blue tit). RNAcentral's name for it is "lncRNA (ENSCCEG00000017354.1)". The record is from RNAcentral. Lineage: Eukaryota; Metazoa; Chordata; Aves; Passeriformes; Paridae.
GAGGAUAAUGACUGGCAAAUAAGUGUGGGAUCUCCCAGCGCAUAUAAACAGGCAACUUUUUGUGACAGAUGAAGAGGGCCAGCCAGAUCCUGGGGCUGGUGCACAUUGCUGGUCCUGCAGUGGUUUUCAGGCCAACUUUAGAGCUUACUUCUACCACCAUGGCUGCCAAAAGCCUGUCAGCAAAGUUUAGUAAACCUUGUGCCUUGUGACAAAUACAUUUACCAGCUGGAUGGAGCAUAUUUGCAGUGUGCUCUCUAUGGAGAUGCUGUCUCUGUGAAUUACUGUGGUGCAGACGAAAAACAUCUGGCAUUCCCUUCUGAGGAAAGAGGAAUUACAGUGAUUCCAGAUUACUGCUCUAUUUUAAAGAGGGCGGUGUGGCCCAGUGGGCUGGAACACAAGAGAUGGAUUCUCUACCAGGUGGUUUUCCACAUGAUACAACAUGGAAUUUUUAUUAAUAAUCAUAAUAAACAGAAUCAACGGCAUCAAAUGCAGCUCUCCACAUUUAGGGUGUUGAAGUCUGUGUGUGUAUGUUUAUUUUCUAAAUAAUGAAUGCACAAUGUAGAAGAAUAAGGCAGCAUCUAUUAAAAGAGCAUUCAUAUUUUCUGAUGCCUCAGUUUUAGGAAUUCACCAGAAAACAGCUAGAGCAACUGGAUGCAUCUAUGUCAAAUGACUUGAAAUAGUUGGUUUAGUGCAGGUUGUAAGGAAAAAUCUUCUGGACCUGUCAGCAUUGAUGCUUUUUUCAAUAAUUUUGUUUCCCUACAGCACUAAAGGUGCUAUGAGACAUGAAAUAUUUCUGUAUAAAAUGGGAUCUGAGUGAAGUAAAUUUGUGAACCAUUCUAACUGGCAGUUCAGACUGGCAGUUAAGAGAUGCAGCAAUCUUGAAUUUAUGCUAUUUUUUCAUAAUGCAUGGUUACAUGUCCUCUCCUCUUCUAAGUGAUAGAUAGUUACAUAGAAAUUAGAAAGACCUCUAAAAUAAAUGUCCCAUAACCAUCUACUUGAUUUCA